GACGAACGCUGGCGGCGUGCCUAAUACAUGCAAGUUGAGCGCUGAAGGUUGGUACUUGUACCAACUGGAUGAGCAGCGAACGGGUGAGUAACGCGUGGGGAAUCUGCCUUUGAGCGGGGGACAACAUUUGGAAACGAAUGCUAAUACCGCAUAAAAACUUUAAACACAAGUUUUAAGUUUGAAAGAUGCAAUUGCAUCACUCAAAGAUGAUCCCGCGUUGUAUUAGCUAGUUGGUGAGGUAAAGGCUCACCAAGGCGAUGAUACAUAGCCGACCUGAGAGGGUGAUCGGCCACAUUGGGACUGAGACACGGCCCAAACUCCUACGGGAGGCAGCAGUAGGGAAUCUUCGGCAAUGGACGAAAGUCUGACCAAGCAACGCCGCGUGAGUGAAGAAGGUUUUCGGAUCGUAAAACUCUGUCGGUAGAGAAGAACGUUGGUGAGAGUGGAAAGCUCAUCAAGUGACGGUAACUACCCAGAAAGGGACGGCUAACUACGUG
This 497-nucleotide ribosomal RNA is filed under the name uncultured bacterium. Its description in RNAcentral is "partial 16S ribosomal RNA". It matches the Rfam family "Bacterial small subunit ribosomal RNA", at positions 28 to 507 of the family's 1533-position model. The record is from RNAcentral.